GUGGCUGUAGCUCAGUUGGCAGAGCACCUGUCUGUGGAACAGGAUGUCGCGGGUUCAAGCCCCGUCAGCCACC
This 73-nucleotide transfer RNA is filed under the name Anaerolineae bacterium. RNAcentral's name for it is "tRNA-His". It matches the Rfam family "tRNA". Rfam says of the family: Transfer RNA (tRNA) molecules are approximately 80 nucleotides in length. Their secondary structure includes four short double-helical elements and three loops (D, anti-codon, and T loops). Lineage: Bacteria; Bacillati; Chloroflexota; Anaerolineae. The record is from RNAcentral.